UCCCCGGUGGUGCAAUUGGUAGCACACCAGACUUUGGAUCUGGGAGUUGGAGGUUCGAGUCCUCCCCGGGGAACCA
Molecule: transfer RNA, 76 nt
Filed under: Planctomycetota bacterium
Lineage: Bacteria; Pseudomonadati; Planctomycetota
Description: Planctomycetes bacterium (activated sludge metagenome) tRNA-Gln
Rfam family: tRNA
About the family: Transfer RNA (tRNA) molecules are approximately 80 nucleotides in length. Their secondary structure includes four short double-helical elements and three loops (D, anti-codon, and T loops).
Source: RNAcentral